RNAcentral lists this ribosomal RNA (331 nucleotides) under uncultured eukaryote. RNAcentral describes it as "partial 18S ribosomal RNA". It matches the Rfam family "Eukaryotic small subunit ribosomal RNA", at positions 1470 to 1796 of the family's 1831-position model. The record is from RNAcentral.
CCCUUAGAUGUUCUGGGCCGCACGCGCGCUACACUGACGAAGUCAGCGAGCAUGUCCUACGCCGACAGGUGCGGGGAAUCUUGUCAAACUUCGUCGUGAUGGGGAUUGAUUAUUGAAAUUCUUGAUCAUCAACGAGGAAUUCCUAGUAAGCGCAAGUCAGCAGCUUGCGUUGAUUACGUCCCUGCCCUUUGUACACACCGCCCGUCGCUACUACCGAUUGAAUGGUUUAGUGAGAUCUACGGAUUGGCGCCACUGCGGCUCAGCAAUGGGCUCGGUGGAUGCCGAAAAGUUGAUCAAACUUGAUCAUUUAGAGGAAGUAAAAGUCGUAACA